GGGGCCAUAGCUCAGCUGGGAGAGCGCUACAAUGGCAUUGUAGAGGUCAUCGGUUCGAUCCCGAUUGGCUCCACCA
This 76-nucleotide transfer RNA is filed under the name Azospirillum melinis. It matches the Rfam family "tRNA". Rfam says of the family: Transfer RNA (tRNA) molecules are approximately 80 nucleotides in length. Their secondary structure includes four short double-helical elements and three loops (D, anti-codon, and T loops). Further hydrogen bonds mediate the characteristic L-shaped molecular structure. tRNAs have two regions of fundamental functional importance: the anti-codon, which is responsible for specific mRNA codon recognition, and the 3' end, to which the tRNAs corresponding amino acid is attached (by aminoacyl-tRNA synthetases). tRNAs cope with the degeneracy of the genetic code in two manners: having more than one tRNA (with a specific anti-codon) for a particular amino acid; and 'wobble' base-pairing, i.e. permitting non-standard base-pairing at the 3rd anti-codon position. The record is from RNAcentral. Lineage: Bacteria; Pseudomonadati; Pseudomonadota; Alphaproteobacteria; Rhodospirillales; Azospirillaceae. RNAcentral also lists the same sequence under 19 other names.